Molecule: transfer RNA, 67 nt
Filed under: Cavia porcellus (domestic guinea pig)
Lineage: Eukaryota; Metazoa; Chordata; Mammalia; Rodentia; Caviidae
Rfam family: tRNA
About the family: Transfer RNA (tRNA) molecules are approximately 80 nucleotides in length. Their secondary structure includes four short double-helical elements and three loops (D, anti-codon, and T loops).
Source: Rfam by way of RNAcentral
UGUGGCUCAGUGGUAGAGCUCUUGCCUUGAAUACAGAAGAUCCUGGGUUCGAUCCCCAGGCUCACAA